GCCGACCCGUCCCGCCCCGCCCCCAACCGCCAUUUCGUGCUCCGGCGCGCGGGGCCUCCGCAUGAUGGACGCCCGGAAGCCGGGACAACAAAGGCCCGCGCGCUAGGGCCGCGCGGCCUGCGGAUCUUUACGCUGCUCGCAGGGCGAAGAUGGCGCCCAGGCGCGGAAGCUGUGCCCGAGUGUGGGGAGACUUGGGCGCGUCUACCUGCGAGCGGGCCCGGCCGCCGUCCUGGGGCGGGGAGGGGCACGCACGGCCUCGUGUGCGCACAGCGCUGGGUGUUCACCUCACCGUGUGUGCACAGCCUCGGGGUACUGCACACGCCCCGGUAUCCCCAGACUUGUGUGUGCACCAUCCAGCCGCACGAACCGGCGGGUUUCCACGUCCAGUGCGCCUGAUCCCGAGUAUGCUUCCACCCGAGUGUGCGCACAGCUGUGUUGGCGCCGCCUGGCCGUCUACACGGGCCCGUGUGUACGGACACGUGUUCGCACGAACCCUAAAUGUGCAGAGGAGCGUGGAUUCAUGAACCUGGCGAAUGCACCAACCUGUGUUUGCCCUUGGGCGUGUGCACACCCACCAGUGUUGCAGACCCACGAGUGCAAGCUCAGCCUCCCGCAGCCUGGAGCACCCGCGAAAACUUACCACGUUUCUGGCCUGUUUUGGAGUUUUGCCUUUGCUGAGUUUACAUGCAAAGCAUAACCACCUGCCUGCUACUCUAUGCUAUUCUUAACCUCUCUAUUCUUUUCUCCCAGCUCAUUGGAUUCCUGCUGAGGCCCCCACUUUGCAAUGGGGUCACGCAAUGACAGUGAGGGGCAGGCGAUGAGAGAAACAAAGAAACGAGCAGUAAAGGGCAACACAGGGAAGCUGGGAAGGAGGCCCCUGGCCCGCUACAGUAAGAGAAGCCUCCUGGAGGAAGCCAAGCGCCAUGGCCAGGGCCUGGCUACAGAUGGAAUCGGGGGUCAAGCCCCAGUUUCUGCUCAGGCCUGAGAACUUUGUUCGACGGGACAUUCAAACAGGAGAUGACACCAAAUUCGUGUACACCUUAAGGGCAUGAAAAUACAUCACCUCUGGACGCCUUGGGUGCUUUCAGCUAAGGAUGUGAUCCUGGAUGAGUCCCACAUUGAGCUCCCUGCAUGGAGCCUGCUUCUCCCUCUGCCUAUGUCUCUGCUUCUCUCUGUGUGUCUCUAAUGAAUAAAUAAAGAAAAAAAAAGAAAAGAAAAUACAUCACCUCUAACAUACCUCCGCAUUCCGGUUGAGAAUCCCUCUACAACUCCCAAUAUGUGAUCAUUGUACCCCCAUCUGAAUGCGUCUCAUGAUGGAGAAUGGGCCACAUCAGAGGACGGACUUUUCG
This is a long non-coding RNA of Canis lupus familiaris (dog), 1349 nucleotides long. RefSeq lists it as uncharacterized. The transcript has 2 exons. Lineage: Eukaryota; Metazoa; Chordata; Mammalia; Carnivora; Canidae. The record is from RefSeq and is a predicted model, not a curated record.